UGGCUUCCUGCAGCGCGGCGGGGCGCGGCGGCCGCUUCCUGCUCCUCCCCGCGGCGCGGCGGGGCGCGGCGGCUCGCUCCGCCAUUGCCGCCCUGGCGGCCCUUUCAAACGUGGGAGCCGGCAGCACGGGGCAGUCCUGACUGGCUUUCUGCAGGAAAAGUCCUUGGAAAUCUACUGCACCAACUUUUCAGAGCAAAACUUUAUGGGAGCUCUCCAACGCUUCAACCUCAAGAGGAUUCCAGGUUAUGAUAAUGACUCUUCUGCUGUGAGGAGCAAAGGAAAACAGAAGCAGAGUGGCUGGGUGAAGUUGCAGGUGUCUCUGAACUGACAGUGGAGAAGAAGAAAAGUCACUGGGAAAGCUACUAAGGUGAGUAAUACUUCUUGUGUUCUGUGGAGAUUUCUGUUUUCCUGUGUUGGACCUGUUUUCUAUUCAUUCACAUAAUGGAAUUUCACUCAGUGGAACAGCACUGGAGACGUGACCUGU
This 484-nucleotide long non-coding RNA is filed under the name Dromaius novaehollandiae (emu). RNAcentral describes it as "lncRNA (ENSDNVG00000002498.1)". Lineage: Eukaryota; Metazoa; Chordata; Aves; Casuariiformes; Dromaiidae. The record is from RNAcentral.